GAGUUUGAUCAUGGCUCAAAACGUACGCUGGCGGCACGCCUAACACAUGCAAGUCGAACGAAGUAGCAAUACUUAGUGGCAGACGGGUGAGUAACAUGUAGGUAUCUGCCCUUUGGCCUGGAAUAACACGAGGAAACUUGUGCUAAUACCGGAUAAGUCUUUACGGAGAAAGCUUUAUGCACCAUUGGAUGAGCCUGCACUUGAUUAGUUUGUUGGUGGGGUAAUGGCCUACCAAGACUGUGAUCAAUAGCUGAUUUGAGAGGAUGAUCAGCCACAUUGGGACUGAGACACGGCCCAAACUCCUACGGGAGGCAGCAGUGGGGAAUCUUGCACAAUGGAGGAAACUCUGAUGCAGCGAUGCCGCGUGAGUGAAGAAGGCCCUUGGGUUGUAAAGCUCUUUCGUCGGGGAAGAAAAUGACUGUACCCGAAUAAGAAGGUCCGGCUAACUUCGUGCCAGCAGCCGCGGUAAUACGAAGGGACCUAGCGUAGUUCGGAAUUACUGGGCUUAAAGAGUUCGUAGGUGGUUGAAAAAGUUAGUGGUGAAAUCCCAGAGCUUAACUCUGGAACUGCCAUUAAAACUUUUCAGCUAGAGUAUGAUAGAGGAAAGCAGAAUUUCUAGUGUAGAGGUGAAAUUCGUAGAUAUUAGAAAGAAUACCAAUUGCGAAGGCAGCUUUCUGGAUCAUUACUGACACUGAGGAACGAAAGCAUGGGUAGCGAAGAGGAUUAGAUACCCUCGUAGUCCAUGCCGUAAACGAUGUGUGUUAGACGUUGGAAAUUUAUUUUCAGUGUCGCAGGGAAACCGAUAAACACACCGCCUGGGGAGUACGACCGCAAGGUUAAAACUCAAAUGAAUUGACGGGGACCCGCACAAGUAGUGGAGCAUGUGGUUUAAUUCGAAGAUACGCGCAGAACCUUACCAACACUUGACAUGUUCGUCGCGACUCUAAGAGAUUAGAGCUUUCGGUUCGGCCGGACGAAACACAGGUGCUGCAUGGCUGUCGUCAGCUCGUGUCGUGAGAUGUUGGGUUAAGUCCCGCAACGAGGGCAACCCUCACUUUUAGUUGCCAUCAUUAAGUUGGGCACUCUGAAAGAACUGCCAGUGAUAAGCUGGAGGAAGGUGGGGAUGACGUCAGGUCCUCAUGGCCCUUACGUGUUGGGCUACACACGUGCUACAAUGGCAUCUACAACAGGAAGCAAAACGGCAACGUUAAGCAAAUCCCGAAAAGAUGCCUCAGUUCGGAUUGCACUCUGCAACUCGAGUGCAUGAAGCUGGAAUUACUAGUAAUCGUGGAUCAGCGUGCCACGGUGAAUGCGUUCCCGGGUCUUGUACACACCGCCCGUCACACCAUGGGAGUUGGUUCUACCUUAAGGCAAGGUUUUAAACCCUUGACCACGGUAUAGUCAGCGACUGGGGUGAAGUCGUAACAAGGUAACC
Molecule: ribosomal RNA, 1435 nt
Filed under: uncultured marine bacterium
Lineage: Bacteria
Description: bacterial SSU rRNA
Rfam family: Bacterial small subunit ribosomal RNA
Source: RNAcentral